GAUGAACGCUGGCGGCGUGCCUAAUACAUGCAAGUCGAGCGAACAGAUGAGGAGCUUGCUCCUCUGACGUUAGCGGCGGACGGGUGAGUAACACGUGGAUAACCUACCUAUAAGACUGGGAUAACUUCGGGAACCCGGAGCUAAUACCGGAUAAUAUAUUGAACCGCAUGGUUCAAUAGUGAAAGACGGUUUUGCUGUCACUUAUAGAUGGAUCCGCGCCGCAUUAGCUAGUUGGUAAGGUAACGGCUUACCAAGGCGACGAUGCGUAGCCGACCUGAGAGGGUGAUCGGCCACACUGGAACUGAGACACGGUCCAGACUCCUACGGGAGGCAGCAGUAGGGAAUCUUCCGCAAUGGGCGAAAGCUUGACGGAGCAACGCCGCGUGAGUGAUGAAGGUCUUCGGAUCGUAAAACUCUGUUAUUAGGGAAGAACAAAUGUGUAAGUAACUAUGCACGUCUUGACGGUACCUAAUCAGAAAGCCACGGCUAACUACGUG
RNAcentral lists this ribosomal RNA (497 nucleotides) under uncultured bacterium. RNAcentral's name for it is "partial 16S ribosomal RNA". It matches the Rfam family "Bacterial small subunit ribosomal RNA", at positions 28 to 507 of the family's 1533-position model. The record is from RNAcentral.